This is a non-coding RNA of Paramuricea clavata, 889 nucleotides long. NCBI's taxonomy places the organism in Eukaryota, Metazoa, Cnidaria, Anthozoa, Malacalcyonacea, Plexauridae. The record is from the annotation of a GenBank genome assembly.
GCCCUCUCAAUUUCUUAGACAAACAUACUCAUAAAAGAAUAAGAUUGCAUGAAAAACAUUUUUAUGACAAGGUUGUUUUAUUUUAUUGAUUUAUUUAUUUAAUUUAAUUUUGCCCAAUAGUAUUUGAUAUUUAUUUACAUGAAAAUACUGAUAUUAAGGAAAAAAAGGGCGACGAGUGUAUUUGAAACCAUUUCGCUUUUCCUUAUACCCCUAGAAAUAUAUUUACAAUUUACUUUCUAAUUAAUUAAUUAAUUAAGUAAACCAGUUCAAAGUAUUAGAGUAGUGAAUAUAUAUAUAUAUAUAUACAUAUACGAAUUGUUCAUAAUUUUUUUAAUGUUUUUUCUUGUAAUAUUAAUAAUAAUACAAGCAGCAAUAGUAAUGUUAAUGAAACAAGCAUUUUCUGUUGCCCCUAAAUUGCAUACGUCACGCUAAACUAUGGCAUCAAAUAACAAUUCAAGAAAAACUACCAGAAUAUCUAAAGUAUUUGUUGAAACAAAUUCAACAACUGUCUUAGAUGAUCCACACAAAAUUGCUAACAAAUUUAAUGAAUACUUUACAAAUGUUGGACCUAAUCUAGCCAAAAAAUAAAUACAAAGAAAACUUCACAAGUCUUAGAAAAGAACAAAUUACACGAAACAUUUCCUAGCAAACAAAGGAAUCGAAAUUUGGAACGGUCUUGCAAAAUACUUCAAACAAAUAAAAUCACAUUUCGUCUUCAAACGAGAGGUAAAGAAACACUUUCUUCAUAUUUAAUUAACCACCGGAAGUUUUUAAAUUUUAUCAAAUUGCCAACUAAAGGGCACAACAAAUCAUUACAUGCUUAUUUCUAUAAUUAAGUGAUUGCUGUGAAUAUCAAAUUGCAAUUGUAUUAUUAUAAUAUACUGUAUAU